Long non-coding RNA from Candoia aspera, 2014 nucleotides. RefSeq lists it as uncharacterized. The transcript has 2 exons. Lineage: Eukaryota; Metazoa; Chordata; Lepidosauria; Squamata; Candoiidae. The record is from RefSeq and is a predicted model, not a curated record.
AGCAGGAGGAAGGGCAGGAAUCCCUUGAGGAAAUUGAGCAGUUGCUUUAUCCUCCUAUGCAGAAGAUCUAGAGCUGCCACCAUCUGCCUUCUCAGUUUUGGGUUCAUAACAUAUUUUAUAUAACUGUUUGUGGUGAAAUGGACUGAGCUUUUUUUUAAUCUUGUGGCCACCUAGCCAAAUGACAGGCUCCCUGAGCCCACAGGGUCUCACAUCUCCCUGUAGAUGGUUGUACAUCCAACUUCUGGACAUCGUAUUUUUGUUUUUUCUUCAAAAAAAAAAAGUAAUUCCUAAAGACCAAAUACUUUUGAUGGAUCUUAUUACACAACGAAGGCAGAUGCUUAAAAAUAUACAUUUAUGAUGCAAUCCACAGAAGCUGAUGGAAGCAGUUGGUGCAAAUGAAUCGCAGCUGAACUCAAUCAUACUGGAACUCAUUUUUAUUAAGGAGAUAUUGACUCUCUUCUUCAAAAAACAGAGAGAACCCAUCUCCCUCUUCUCUUAGCCUAUAGAAUAUAUUUUUGUGUGUCACUGAUGUUUGCAACAAAGGAUGCUGGGAAUACUGGAACAUUCCUAGUUGGGGAGAGGUGGUGGUGGGGGCAAGGUGAGAAAGGAGAGUCAGCUUGUGAGUGAUUCCAUUUGGGCGAUCUGCCCUUCAGCGAGCGCCUCUUCGAGACAGUACCUUCUGUAUCCUCGUAGGCCGAGGACAAGUAGAAGAUUUCUCUCUCUCUUUUCCUUCUCCCUUUUCUUAGUUGCUUCUUGAUGGCCUGUCUGUGGUGGAUCAACUCAGAGUUUAGGGAGCUAUUUAUUUGUGGGAGAAGAGAUGCUCGGGGCAUAGCUGUUUAAGGGAGGGAAAGAGGAUGGAGCAUGUUAAAUGAAAGUUGGUGGAAGGGGCCAGAGUCUCCAUUCCUAGAAGUGUCCAUUUUGGCUCUCAGUAGAGAGGGCAGUGUGAUGCAUCUAGUUUUGGGUUGCUGACUUAAGUGGCGAGUGCCCAGAUUGGGCAACAAAUUGCAGAGUUCGCUGACCAGGUAGAAAGCUUGGUGGCGCGAGAAGUGGGAGGGAGGGAAGGCCAUUUGUAAAUACUGCCCAAAUCCUCCCAUGCAGGCAAGGGAAUGAAACGAUGAUCGGUCACUAUUUACAUGUGCCUUUUCUUUGCCACUGUGAAAUAGCUUGGUGCUCUGGCUAGGUUUGGGCGCAGAGGGUCAGCCCCUAGACCACAGAGAUUUUGGCACAGAGUUCCCUCCUGCUCUCCCUCUCUCUGUUCCUUGCAUUGAGAUCAGGAUCCUGCUCUUGCCCUGGGUGGAGUCACAAGAUGGGGAAGGGGUGAUGCAGGCAGCUGUGUGGGGGAGAGCAGGAACUAACCUGUCAGCCACUAAAGGCUCACGGGUGGGAGGAAGGAGAGAAAGGACUGCGGGGUGAGGAUUACAGUGUGCACCUCAAGGGGUUGCUUCUUCAGGGAAUAAGAGGAAUUUAGGGUCUGCUUACAGAUCUUUGCCUUUAACCUGCAAAGUAGCGGUAAAAUGGGCAAUAACAAUUGCUCUGGGCACCAUAUUGGUGACGUUGGACGGCAGCCUCUCCCUCCCUCCCUCCCAGCUCUGCCUCUGCCCAGCAGCUGGAAGGAACUCGGUUGCUCUUGGCCUCUCCCCUCCUCCCGUUGCACAAGAGGGAAGGUCCACAGUAGAAGAGUCUUAUUGCCUCUGCUUUGCUCCAGCCCAGUUCUUCUUACCUUUUGCGGGAGUGGGAGGGAUGAAAGAUGUAAAUCAACACCCUCCAAGGGGGUCGCGCAACAUUUUCUAGUAUAAAACACUAUUUCCUUUUUUAAUCCAGAUGAACCAGAACUACCCUUCCCCACUGACCAAUUCGAUGCUGUAGAAGAAACUAAUAACUCACUGACUCUUGUUUUUGCUUUUCCUCUGCACCCCUGCUGUCCUUUGAGUCCUGUGCUCAUUCUGCAAUGCUUUUAAAAUGAAAUGAUUUUUAUAUAAAUAAAGUUUUAAAGUGUGUAUUUGUUAAAAUGGAA